This 399-nucleotide ribosomal RNA is filed under the name uncultured soil bacterium. Its description in RNAcentral is "bacterial SSU rRNA". It matches the Rfam family "Bacterial small subunit ribosomal RNA", at positions 975 to 1375 of the family's 1533-position model. The record is from RNAcentral.
CCAGGCUUGAACAGCGAGUGACCAUCGACGAAAGUUGACUUCCGCAAGGACACUCGUAGAGGUGCUGCAUGGCUGUCGUCAGCUCGUGUCGUGAGAUGUUGGGUUAAGUCCCGCAACGAGCGCAACCCUUGUCUGCUGUUGCCAUCACGUUAUGGUGGGCACUCUGCAGAGACUGCCGGUGAUAAACCGGAGGAAGGUGGGGAUGACGUCAAGUCAGCAUGGCCUUUAUGUCUGGGGCUACACACGUGCUACAAUGGCCGACACAAACCGUCGCGAUACCGCGAGGUGGAGCUAAUCGGAGAAAGUCGGUCUCAGUUCGGAUAGCAGGCUGCAACUCGCCUGCUUGAAGUUGGAAUCGCUAGUAAUCGCGGAUCAGCACGCCGCGGUGAAUACGUUCCC